UCUACGGGUGGCAGCAGUGGGGAAUAUUGCGCAAUGGGCGAAAGCCUGACCCAGCUACGCCGCGUGAGUGAAGAAGGUCUUCGGAUCGUAAACCUCUGUCAGCAGGGAAGACCGGACACCGUGCUAAUUAGCAGUGAAUUGACGGUACCUCCAAAGGAAGCACAGGCUAACUCAGUGCUAGCAGCCGCGGUAAUGCGGAGGGGGCGAGCGUUAAGCGGAAUUACGGGGCGUAAAGCGCUCGUAGGCGGUAUGUCAAGUCACGGGUGAAAUCCCCGCGCUCAGCGUGGGAACUGCCUUUGAAACUGGCGAACUUGAGUGUGGGAGAGGAUGGUGGAAGUCCAGGUGUAGCAGUGGAAUCCGUAGAUAUCUGGAGGAACAUCAGUGGCGAAGGCGACUAUCUGGCACAUAACUGACGCUGAGGAGCGAAAGCGUGGGGAGCAAACAGGAUUAGAUACCCGAGUAGUC
This 465-nucleotide ribosomal RNA is filed under the name uncultured bacterium. RNAcentral's name for it is "partial 16S ribosomal RNA". It matches the Rfam family "Bacterial small subunit ribosomal RNA", at positions 338 to 795 of the family's 1533-position model. The record is from RNAcentral.